Molecule: non-coding RNA, 546 nt
Organism: Microcebus murinus (gray mouse lemur)
Lineage: Eukaryota; Metazoa; Chordata; Mammalia; Primates; Cheirogaleidae
Source: RefSeq, a predicted model, not a curated record
CUGACCUCAAGCUAUCUGUCCGCCUCGGCCUCCCAGAGUGCUAGGAUUACAGGCAUGAGCCACCGCGCCUGGCCAGAAGUGUUCUUAAAUCUUUGGCACCUAUUUCCACUGGUCUAUUCUAGAAUCUAGUAUAAGAUGGAAUUCAUUUUAGCACAAUGUCAUGAAUUGUUACAUCGAGUUUCUUGUAUCAGUGUUUUGUAGUAUUCUGAAAAGAGCAUGGGGCUGUCAGAUGUUUGGUCACCUGAAUUCAAGUUUGAGAACCAGACUUCUAGGCCAAGGAAACUGUAUGAAUUCAGUUUCCUUCUCAUGAUUCCCUCUCUCCUUAUCACUUGUGAGGCAGCCCUGGAGAGAGGGAAGCCAGCUGCCAUGUUUUGAGAACACCUCAGGCAGCCGCAUGAGUGAGCUUGGAAGUGGAUCCUUCCCCAGUGGAACCUUGAGAUGCCUGUAAGAGACCCUGAACCAGAACCAUUCAGCUAUGCUGCUCCCAGAUUCCUGAUAUACCAAAACUAUGAGAUAAUAAAUGUGUUAUUAUAUUUUAAGCCACGA